AUUGAACGCUGGCGGCAUGCGUUACACAUGCAAGUCGAACGGCAGCACGGGAGCAAUCCUGGUGGCGAGUGGCGAACGGGUGAGUAAUGUAUCGGAACGUGCCCAGUCGUGGGGGAUAACGCAGCGAAAGCUGUGCUAAUACAGCAUACGAUCUAUGGAUGAAAGCGGGGGAUCGCAAGACCUCGCGCGAUUGGAGCGGCCGAUAUCUGAUUAGGUAGUUGGUGGGGUAAAGGCCCACCAAGCCUGCGAUCUGUAGCUGGUCUGAGAGGACGAUCAGCCACACUGGGCCUGAGACACGGCCCAGACUCCUACGGGAGGCAGCAGUGGGGAAUUUUGGACAAUGAGCGCAAGCCUGAUCAAGCAAUGCCGCGUGCAGGAUGAAGGCCAUCGGGUUGUAAACUGCUUUUGUACGAGACGAAAAGACUCGCUCUAAUACAGCGGGUACAUGACGGUAUCGUAAGUAUAAGCACCGGCUAACUACGUGCCAGCCGCCGCCGUAA
RNAcentral lists this ribosomal RNA (500 nucleotides) under uncultured bacterium. RNAcentral's name for it is "partial 16S ribosomal RNA". It matches the Rfam family "Bacterial small subunit ribosomal RNA", at positions 30 to 523 of the family's 1533-position model. The record is from RNAcentral.